This 336-nucleotide unclassified non-coding RNA is filed under the name soil metagenome. RNAcentral's name for it is "partial contains 5.8S ribosomal RNA, internal transcribed spacer 2, and large subunit ribosomal RNA". The stretch from base 1 to 120 matches the Rfam family "5.8S ribosomal RNA", at positions 35 to 154 of the family's 154-position model. The record is from RNAcentral.
GAUGAAGAACGCAGCGAAAUGCGAUAAGUAGUGUGAAUUGCAGAAUUCAGUGAAUCAUCGAAUCUUUGAACGCACAUUGCGCCCCUUGGUAUUCCAUGGGGCAUGCCUGUUCGAGCGUCAUUUGUACCUUCAAGCUUUGCUUGGUGUUGGGUGUUUGUCUCGCCUUUGCGUGUAGACUCGCCUUAAAAUAAUUGGCAGCCGGCGUAUUGAUUUCGGAGCGCAGUACAUCUCGCGCUUUGCACUCAUAACGACAGCGUCCAAAAGUACAUUUUACACUCUUGACCUCGGAUCAGGUAGGGAUACCAGCUGAACUUAAGCAUAUCAAUAAGCGGAGGA